RNAcentral lists this microRNA precursor (173 nucleotides) under Corchorus capsularis. Its description in RNAcentral is "pre miRNA MIR2118". The record is from RNAcentral. Lineage: Eukaryota; Viridiplantae; Streptophyta; Magnoliopsida; Malvales; Malvaceae.
GAGAGAUUGGAGAAGGAGUUGGAAUUUUGGGAAGCUCACGGCGUGGGUGGAGGGGCAAGAUAAACCCGAUUUUGCUUAUUUUGCUUGUUUGUUUGAAGCAAAAAGAGGUGUUUGUCUUACCUACCCCACCCAUGCCAUCCGUUUCCUGCUUUUCCUCCCUCUCCUCAUCUUCU